Molecule: ribosomal RNA, 250 nt
Filed under: uncultured Bacillota bacterium
Lineage: Bacteria; Bacillati; Bacillota
Description: uncultured Firmicutes bacterium partial 16S ribosomal RNA
Rfam family: Bacterial small subunit ribosomal RNA
Source: RNAcentral
AACUGCGUGGAUUAGAUACCCCAGUAGUCCACGCCGUAAACGAUGGGUACUAGGUGUUGGGGGACAUUGACCCCCUCAGUGCCGUAGCUAACGCAUUAAGUACCCCGCCUGGGGAGUACGGCCGCAAGGCUGAAACUCAAAGGAAUUGACGGGGACCCGCACAAGCAGUGGAGCAUGUUGCUCAAUUCGAUGCAACGCGAAGAACCUUACCAGGGCUUGACAUCCGAGGAACCUCUUGGAAACAGGAGGG